Musca domestica (house fly) is the source of this 656-nucleotide long non-coding RNA. RefSeq lists it as uncharacterized. Lineage: Eukaryota; Metazoa; Arthropoda; Insecta; Diptera; Muscidae. The record is from RefSeq and is a predicted model, not a curated record. The transcript is spliced from 4 exons.
AAAGGUAACCAAUUGACACCUUUUCGUCCCCAAGUAAUGCAAAGAAGCGACAGUUGUGCAUAAAUAAAAACCACAACGAAAAAACCAGACGAACAUUUGAAUGAGAUCUCUACGAACAAGAACCACUUUGAAUAGUUUUUUUUUAGAUUACCAAUAAAAAAACAAUGCACCGUUAUUCUUGAGGAAUGCAAGUGCGUUUUGUUUGGAAAAAGCAUACUUAUUAUGAUCGUUGUGAAGUGAAGUAUCAUUUUUCUGUGCAAAUAAGUUAUAAAGUGUUGAAAAUAACAAAUAAAAAGGUCAAAUCAAAAUUUUAGCUGAUGCUUUAGCUGAGUUGAAGGUGAUGGUGCUACGAUCUCAAAGUGAUGAGAUACCAUUAUCGAAUAGGUUCCCCAUCACUUAUGAAAAAUAUUGAGAAUCAAUACAUAUAUGUAAAGAUUAUAGCAUCAAUUAUAAAAGGAGAGGAAACAUCGAAAUGUUUAAAAAUGUUAUCGGUUCAAAUAUUACUACGAGUAUAAUAUUGAGGGAAACCAUGGAAAAAAGUUUGAAGUCCCUAAGUAAUAUAUACAGCGUUAUUUUAGAUUCAAUACCAGUUACAGAAUAUUCGGACACCCCUAAAACACAACUGCGAAAAGCAAUACAAGUGCUUUUAUAAAUAA